CACGGAUCCAGACUUUGAUCAUGGCUCAGGACGAACGCUGGCGGCGUGCCUAACACAUGCAAGUCGAGCGGAGGUAUCCGAAGAGCAAUCUAAGGAUGCCUGAGCGGCGGACGGGUGAGUAACGCGUGAGCAACCUGCCUAUCACAGGGGGAUAACGCAGCGAAAGCUGCACUAAUACCGCAUGAGACCACAGCGGCUAUGGCUGCGGGGGUCAAAGGAGAAAUCCGGUGAGAGAUGGGCUCGCGUCCGAUUAGGUAGUUGGUGAGGUAACGGCCCACCAAGCCUAUGAUCGGUAGCCGGCCUGAGAGGGUGAACGGCCACAUUGGAACUGAGAGACGGUCCAAACUCCUACGGGAGGCAGCAGUGGGGAAUAUUGGGCAAUGGGGGAAACCCUGACCCAGCAACGCCGCGUGAGGGAAGAAGGUUUUCGGAUUGUAAACCUCUGUUCUUGGUGAAGAGAAGAAGACGGUAACCAAGGAGGAAGCCCCGGCUAACUACGUGCCAGCAGCCGCGGUAAU
This 518-nucleotide ribosomal RNA is filed under the name uncultured Banisveld landfill bacterium BVB24a. RNAcentral's name for it is "bacterial SSU rRNA". It matches the Rfam family "Bacterial small subunit ribosomal RNA", at positions 1 to 524 of the family's 1533-position model. The record is from RNAcentral.